This is a long non-coding RNA of Nicotiana tabacum (common tobacco), 889 nucleotides long. RefSeq lists it as uncharacterized. Lineage: Eukaryota; Viridiplantae; Streptophyta; Magnoliopsida; Solanales; Solanaceae. The record is from RefSeq and is a predicted model, not a curated record.
GACCUAGAAGACACCCUUCAAAAUAGACCUAACCUUAAGACCCCAAAACCAAAGCAGUCGCACCACCCUCAUUGGAAAACAAUGACCAGCGAAGAACAGACCCCCAAAAAUGGAAGUCAACCUAAGAGCAGCAACCAUCGCCUGAACACAGCCGUCCCCCACCCCUCUUCACCACCCAAAUCAGCCGUAAGCUUCACAAAUUCCGUCGUCGACCUCCUCUUCUCCAAAACCACCACACCCCUCGCCAUACACAAGCGGCCACCCUCACCACAAAAUCAAACCAGCGGCAGACCCCUUUCACCUAGCCACCAUUCCAGCGCUGCCGCACCUCACUUGCACAUAGGGACAUAGCUGAAAUACGGACAGACCUUAGAGAACAGAGAAAAAAAUGGGCUGAGAGGGCACGAACAAAGAGGAGAGAUUAGGAGAAGAAAUUGCUAACACUGCAUCACUCAUUUUGAAUAGCAAUUUCACGAAUCUGUGGAGACAAACCGUCAUUUUUAGUCAUAAGCGAGGCAAUCCGGUCAGAGUUCGAUGAGGUUUUCGGCGAGGUUUCUGUUUUAGAUUUUGUUCGCGGGUCCAAUCUCUAGUCAUUUAUUGAACAAAUACUCGAUUUUCUGAGUCAUCCGAGCCUGAGAUUCUGUCGAUUAAUUUGAAAGUGUGGCUGCUCGAGGUAUGGAUCAGUGUACCAUAGCUCGAGCAUGACAAAUACCCCAGGACCACUGCAUUCAGGAGCUGCUUAAAGAUACUUUUAUGUUUUGAGUCUGUCAUUCAUGUUGUCUUUUACUUUCUAGUCUUGUACAGUAAUAUCGUGUCUUUUGUUAUAUUACUUCCCAUUUUGUAUUUGAACAACCAAACAAAAAAAUUAAAUGAAAAAUCCAUUUUUUUA